Non-coding RNA from Triticum aestivum (bread wheat), 135 nucleotides. The record is from Rfam. NCBI's taxonomy places the organism in Eukaryota, Viridiplantae, Streptophyta, Magnoliopsida, Poales, Poaceae.
UUCAUACUCCCUCCGUCCGAAAAUACUUGUCAUCAAAAUGGACAAAAAGGGAUGUAUCUAGAACUAAAAUACAUCUAGACUCAUCCCCUUUUAUUCAUUUUGAUGACAAGUAUUUUCGGACGGAGGGAGUAGAUG